This is a long non-coding RNA of Acipenser ruthenus (sterlet), 8908 nucleotides long. RefSeq lists it as uncharacterized. The record is from RefSeq and is a predicted model, not a curated record. NCBI's taxonomy places the organism in Eukaryota, Metazoa, Chordata, Actinopteri, Acipenseriformes, Acipenseridae. The transcript has 3 exons.
UUUGUAGUGGUAGCACCUCACCUCCUCCGAGGAAUAGAAGAUAACGUAAUUGGUCCCCUCGAAGGGGCUGGUCCUUGCAGCCCAGGGAGGUGGGAAGUUUGAUAGGACGACCCUUGUGCCAAGGCCCGUGAGCAGUUCAAUGGGGAUGAACAUCCCCACCACCGCGAGACCCCUCUUGAUUGCAGUGUUCGCAGUGGCCUCCUAUUUCAGGAAGAACGCGGCCUUCCCGUACAUUUUGGAGGCUGCCAAGAUGGCUGAAAGCCCCACCACCUUGGCCAUGGCCUUAACAAAUCCCUCAAUUGAGAGGGUGUCUCCUCGUAAUGUUCUUGAAGGGGGCCGCAGUGUCCGCAGCUACCUGCGCCCACCUUCUUGGGCUUGUUGAGCUUGCCCACUUAUUUUUUUUUUUUAAAUACAUUUUAAUUUGUUUAGAUAUUUAUUUUAUUUUAUUUAUUUUAUAAAAAAAAAAAAACAAAGACUACACACAACACAGCACAAAAAAUCACCUAUACUGCAAUCGGUGUGGGGGCACACAAACACAAAACAAACAGUUAUUUUUUUCUUAAAUAAAGGAAAAAAACGAUGAAAAACAAAACAAAACAAAGCUAAAGGUAAUUUAAAAUUAAUUGAAAACCUUCAACUAUAAGAAAGAAAAACAGGUCAGACACAAGGCAGAAGCAGGGGAUUUAAAACAAAACAGAUUUUUAAAGCAAAAUCUAAAACAGUUUUGUGAUCAAAAAAAAAAAACUAAAAUUAAAAGAAACAAAAGUAAAUGCUUUUCAAUAAACAAUUAAAAAGCAAAGAAAUUAAGAGUUUAAAUGAAGAAAAAAAUAAAAAUAGAAACAAACACAGAAACAAAGGAAAAUGGCUGACCACCAGCACUUCCAAACAGUGCAAGUGCAGGGAGAACAAAAGAAAAAAGAAACAGUGUUCUAUAAAAGACUAACCAAUAAAAUCAAAUAAUUUUUAACAAAAAAGGUGCACAACUGCUUUAGAAAAGGAAAUAUAUGAAAAGAUUUAGAAAAUAAAAAAGUUUAAAGAAUUGUUUUAAUAGUUUUUAUUGCACUACUUAAAGGCAGAUAUAAUUGCAUACCUGGACCAUCUGUGUGUGUCUGUAUCAGCACUUUCCUGAAGACAGCUCCAGGGCAGUCACUGGAGGUCACACAUGACUCCUGCUGGCUUGGCUGCAUUUGAAUGAAAGCACAGCAUGCACCACUACAGAUUCAAAGGUUCUCAGCUAACAAACUCCAUAUAACCGAAUACAGAGCAACAUAUUUCCAACAUCUGCAAUUUUCACAGGACUGAUUAUGGCAAAAAUCUAAUUAAGUGUGAUCAAUGUCAUAUUCAGUGGGAUUUACCAGUACAAUUUGGACGCUACAGCAAUCCAGUGUAGUUUUUGUGACAUUAUGAUUAUAAAUUAUAAUAUAUUACUACUAUUACGACUACUGCGACUAUUACGACUACUGCGACUACUACAACUACUACGACUACUACUACUACUAAUAAUAAUAAUAAUAAUAAUACUAAUAAUGAUAAUAAUAAUAAUAAUAAUGAUAAUAAUAAUAAUGCAUGCACAGACAAAUAUGAUGGCAAAAAUAUAAUGAUUAUAAAAUAUAAAAAAUACCGUUAGAUACUGUAGUGCUUGUGAAGUAUAUCAGCUAUGAGGUAUUAGGAGCCUGUACUGUGGGAAUGACACUUGCAUGCAGAACAUUAUUUAUUAUGUAUUUGAUAUCAGUUUCCUCUUGCCUUUGUAGCUUUUUUCUGUGUUUAGAUGCUUUGACCUAAGUUCACAAGCUUCUUUUCCAGUUUUCUGCCAUAGACGUAUGCAACCCAGGCUAGAUCAGCCAAAGUGUCUUUGUAUAGAAGUAAGAGCCAGCACCAUCUAGUGGGAAGGCAUUUGGUAUAACUGCAGUACUGUAUGUACAAUAUAUCUCUUUUGGACAUUUGAAUCAAAAGGAUACAGGAAUGCCACCUGCUAAGAGCUAAUGAUAAUCAUAUUAGAAUGCGUCCCACAUUUUCUGCUUGUACAGCGAGCAAAGCUAUCCUAUAUUUAACAUAUGAUGUAUAUUAGUGAUACCUUUUGAAUAGCUUAAUCAGUAAGUAGCUUCCAAUUGCAUUUACAAAAGUUUAUUUUUUCUAUCCCCUUAAGAGGCAACACCAUCUGUGUAUUUCCAGCCAUAUAAAAUUAAACUUGGCCCUUAAAGACUAAAUGUUUCUUGGUUUCUGUAACAUUAAUACAUGCAUCAGUUGCCACAAUCUUACACACGCAUAUAGAUAUGUAUAUAUGGGGCAAACGCUUAGUAAAUCUGUUUAUAAUCACAUUUGUUCACUUAUUUGUCAUGGUCUACUAACAAGAAUAAUUGUACUGUUUAUAAUCAAGUUAAUAAAUCCUCAUUAGUUCUAAACAUUAUUGAAUUACUGUCAUUGCAAAUAAUAAUAAUAAUAAUAAUAAUAAUAAUAAUAAUAAUAAUAAUAAUAAUAAUAAUAAUAAUAAUAAUAAUGUGCAUAUUAUUAGCAGUAACACCCAUAACACCCCUUUUAUCUUAUAAUGAGUGGUUUCAUUUCAGUGAAUCUAUGCCUUUUUUAGCAUUGUCCUCUCUGGAUUGUCCUUUGUCCCCAUUAUCCUGACAUCAGUCCGGUUUGGACAUAUGCUUUCACAGCUGCUGCUGUUGUUGUUCUUGUCACUGUACAUGCUCAUUAUACUUUGAGGGCAUCUUUCCCGUUUUCUCAGAGUGCUGGUUUCAGCGCGGAGUUGUUUCUCUCUCUGCAUCAGCAUCCAUUUGGUAUCAGAAUGCAUCCAUUCUUGCUCUAACAUUUUAUUGGUACAAGAGGGAGAACCACGUUUCUCCAGUAAAAAAUGAAAACCCAUAUAAAAAAUGCUAGUGCUGUCCAAAAACACAUCAUUUCAUACAAUAUACUACUUUUUCAAUUUCUAUAAUAUACGUUGUGUGUACUACUGUAUUCUGUAGGAAACUACAGUGUUUUAUAUGGGAUGCUAAAUCCCCUGGUUUUCCAUCUUCCUCUCUAUUAAUCAAAAUUAGAGCUAACCCUAACCCUAACCCUAACCCUAACCCUUGCACUGCCCCCUAAAUGUGUUCCUACAAUCCUAAAACAUGUGGUGCUGUCAUCUUUAUAUUUAUCAUAAGUUACAGUGUAUUUUUUAAAACUAUCUAUCUAUCUAUCUAUCUAUCUAUCUAUCUAUCUACCUAUCUACACCGUAUAUAUAUAAUAUGUCUAUCUAUCUACACCAUAUAUAAUAUCAUUAUGCUCUUGUCGUCUUGUGCCUUAUCUAUAUUCAUAUUCUUAAAUACACACAUACAUACAGUAUAUGUUAACUCUGUAUCUUUUGCAAACCACUUCUUCAAAAUGUCAAAACAACUAAGGCCUAUCUGUGCCUUAUUUCUGUAGCAACAACAAAACAGAGAUUUUACGUGGGCACCCAAUAAUUAAAAACUGCGUGAAGGUAUAACAAUAUAAUGAAUGAAAACUGAUAGACUAGUAGGUUUCCAUAGAAACGUGUAUAAUUAUGAUAAUCGGUCCCCGUGAACCCUACGAAUCAUAGGAUGUUCUUAUAAAUGAAAUAAGCAUUACAUAUUAUUUGGUAAGAUAAACAUGGUCCUGUGCAGUUAUAGAACUGCAGGACCGAUCAUUUCUUAAAUUAAAAGCACUGUAUACCAUGGAUUACUUCAAUAGUAAGCAUACUGUAUAUGUUGUGUGAUUAAGCAAGGCAGAUAUGCACUAAAUAUUUUUUUUUUCUGAUGAAUAUUCAUGAAGGAUUUUUCUCUUAUGCCACAAAUGUGACCUAGUGGUUGUUAUUUAUUCAAAUUCUUUACUUAAACUAUAUGGUAUACAAUUAACUUAAUUCCUUUUUUUUUUUUACUCAAUUCAUGCAUUUUCCCCCUACCUACUGAGUUACUUAAAUACAUUUCUUUCUUAUUUGAUAUCUGUAGCCCAUUUUGAAAACAGAGCUUUUUAUGUUAAAUUCCAUUCUUUAAUUGCUGCACAUUUCAUUGUACAAUAAUAUUUUUAUUUGACUUGGAAACGUGGUAAUAGAUGGGCAGUAGUUAGGGCAGGAAGAUUCAUGGAAAGAGCCACAAACAAGUUUUACUUUUCAGUGUAAUAAUAAAUACCGUUCAAAUAAUUAUCAUGGUUAGGUGGUCAGUGCUUCAUGACAAGUUUCUCAUUUCUCUUUCUGUUAGAUCCAGUUUUUAGCUAAUAAGUUAUCAAGCCACUCAAGUGGUAUACAAGGUCAUCACCAGCAUUCAGGCGGUUGCAAUAUCAGCUAAACGCUUCAAUACAAAAGGUGAACUUUAAGAUGGUUAUAACACAAUACUAUUAUAAAUGGAAAAAUAGAAUAUUUUUACCAAUGGCAAGCUUUUGUUUCUAAUGGGAUUGUAAAUAUGUGUAAAUAAUAAUAAUAAUAAUAAUAAUAAUAAUAAUAAUAAUAAUAAUAAUAAUAAUAAUAAUUCACUGAUAUGAACAAAAAAGCACUUAUUCUCAGAGGGUGAUAACAGAAAAUAUUUUCUGAUACUGUACAUAACAUUCUCAAGUAAUACAAACGACUAUUACAAUAAACAAGGCUGACUCUGCUAUGCUUGUGGAUGUACAGUAUAGGAACUGAGAAUAUGAACAGUCAAUUACAUGCAAAUAUUAAGUAUUGCAUUGCAGGAUCGCAAUUUUGACAAAUCUGGAGGUGUGUUCUGUUUACCUGUGAUAUUUAAAUGUCAUUACAUGUGGAACAAUUUUGAAAAGCUUUUUUAAAAAAUCCAAAUGGUGUCUUUUCAUAACAGAAACAAGAUGUCCAAUAUAUCACCUUCUGUGUUUGCCAUUUUAAAGAUUUUUAGGGUUGAAUUCAGGGGCUGUUACACAGAAAUACAUUCAUUUUGACAUCAAAGAUCAUGUACUGUAGUUUAAGUUGAAGUAUUUAAAUUAGACACAAAAUAGGGUCUAGUCACUACCAUGGGUUAAUGAGUCUAAUAAUGUUCUUCUUUAUUCAAGUAAAUUAAAUUUGCUGGCGUAAAAGUAAUUAUCACAAGAACACCAUAGGAGAGGCCCUUAAUGACUAUCAUGCUUUUGACUCUGCAGCCAAAGCAAUUUUUCUGUCCCCUUUCAACGUCAGAGUGAUUUCAAAACCACCAUAUUACAUGUUGGUGGCUGGUGUAUGCAGUUCUAGUUGUCAAAGGCAAUUAAAGAUGGCUGAGGUCAACUGUCUGAAGCAGAGAGCAGUUUGACUGUCAAUGUCUCUGCAACCCUGCCUCAAGGUCAGGAAUAUUAACCAUCUGGUCAGUUUGGGCUUUGUCACAGUUUCAAUAAAGGUCUGCUGGGCAAACAAUAGCCUAGAGACACUCUUACAUUGUACUGGAAAAUCAGAACCUCAAUGUACGUGUAUAUUUAUAAUGAUGGCUAUUCAAUUUGCCUAAAUAUAUAUAUAUAUUUGUAAAAAAAACAGUGGUCAUGAUGUGUGUGCACAAACAGAUGUCCCUUGCAGGUCUUCAAAGUUACUAGUGGUGUGUAAAGUCACAAGGACCCGUUUAAUUAUUAUCUAUUCUUGGCUUUAGUAUGGCUUGAAACAAGAGCAAUAUUUGUUUCUUAUAUGUGUUUUAUCACAGUUUAUUAAUGUGUGUGAAUCUAUGUUUUUCCUUCUUGUUUCUUUACAAAACCUCUGAAGCUUUAUUGGAAACCAGGAACUGAUCUCAAAUGAAUUACCCCGUGAAACAGCCAACAAAUGUUGUAAAUAAAUCCCAAAUUACACAAUGUUUGUGAUUUCAAAUUUGACAUCUUGGUCUGCAAAAUCUUGGAACACUCAUAAGUAAGGCUGUAUUUUUUUCAUAGAUUUCACAGUUUCUGUUCAAUUUGUUGUACAAUAACUGUAAAGAAAAAUCAUCAAUUUUGAAUGUGCCAACGCAAUUCUUUACUGCUUUAAUAAAUAUUAUGCUAAUCGUAAAAUAUCUAUUUUUAAAUCAUUAAAAAAAAAUUAGGUCACUCCAGCCAGGUUAACUGCACCGGGCAACUGUAUAUGGAUAUCAUGGAUGAUGUAGUUCUGUUUGCAGUUCAUCAUUUCUUUCCUCGUGUGGCAAUGCUUCUAUGCAUGGAUCCAGAGAGGUCAGAAGAUGGUUCGAAGAGCACAGCAGGGGACUUUACACACCUCCCUUAGCCUGCCGAGGCCCUGAGGAAUUAACUUGAUUUCUGCGGGCAAGGCGUUAACCGUGUGUGGUCCAGGAGGCUGUGUGGUCCAGUGGUUAAAGAAAAGGGCAUGUAACCAGGAGGUCCCUGGUUCAAAUCCCACCUCAGCCAGUGACUCAUUGUGUGACCCUGAGCAAGUCACUUAACCUCCUUGUGCUCCGUCUUUCAGAGUCAUUUUUAAAUACAUCUGCAUGUUAAAACAACUGGGAUAUUAAACCUUUCUUUUUUACGUGGAUGGACCAUCCUAAUCAUAGCUUGAUCACAAUGGAAUUCUAUUGGCCUAGUUUUUUUAUAUAUAUAUAUAUUUGUUUCUUUUCUGGUCACUAAUGUAUAUUAAGAGAAACAAAUAAUCCAUAAAAACUAAAAAAAUCCAACAAACAUUCAGAAGCACUUUAGAUUACAAGGCACAAAAAUCCAUGCACAUACAUUGUAAUAACUGCUUGUACAUGGUAACUAAGCUUCCUAUCUCUGCUUGCAUUCAAUUCAAGACCCUUGUUCUUGCCUACCGCUCUCUUCACCACACUGCCAUUUCCUACCUCCAAUUCUGGGUGUCUCCCAACACCCCCUCCUGCCCUCUCCGCUCCUCCUCUACUGGCCUUCUCUCCACUCUCCAUCCUCCCGUGCCCGCUCCUCCUCUUCUCUAGCCCCUCUGUGGUGGAAUCAGCUGCUGGAGAACUUCAGGACUGCUCCGUCUCUCACUGCCUUCCGCCGCCUCUUCCUCAAGACCCACCAGUUUAGACUGCACUUGUAGAUCUCUUGAUCUACCUCUCUUAUUAUGCACUGGACUUGCCUGACCUAAGCACCACAUUACUGGAUCUUGAGCUAAUGCACUAUCCUUGCACUAUUGCACUAAUGUGACAUUGUAGAUACAACUUGUAGUAAUCCUUACAUGUUGCAUCCUAGUUCAUAUUGUCUUUUAGUAGUAUUAUUUGCACUUACAGUAAACUAUACUGUAUAUAAAUGUUAAUAUUGCAUUACAACACUGUACUGCCCUGUAAUACCUGUAAGUUGCCUUGGAUAAAGGUGUCAGAUAAAUAAAUAAUAACAAUUUUGUUAUCGGAUAUAAUUAAUAGUACUGCCAUGGCACUGACCAUGUCUAUGUAACUACACACUGAUAGCUGAUACCCAGUUAUUACUGUGUUAUUAUAUAGUUCUGUAUGCUACAUUUGUUUUCUAUUUAUGCUCAGUCUUUAUUGUGUCCAUUGUCAUUUUCACUCAAAAUGAAGCAAAACCCGUUAAGUGGCUGAGGUUGCCACAGGGGCCUACAGUAAGAGGAAAAAAUAAUCGACAGCUGAUUACUAAUUACUAAUCAAAUAUUUUGUUGCAGUGACAGUGAUUGAAAAAAAAAUGCAUACAUUGGGUUGAGAAUCUUCAAUAUUCUAAAGGGAUUCUUUAUAUACAUUGUUUCAAUAUUUCAUUAUUUACCUGUUUAAUAGGGAUGGAAAGCGGUGAUAUAAUUUAUUUUCCUUCUGAAACUGUGAUUUUGUAUAGACAUUUUGAAUUUAUGAAAUCACAAUAACCAUAGUUACACUGAAUUCUGAUCAUAGUUUGCCAAUAAAAUAGUAUGCAAUACAAAGCUAUGUGUUAUAAUGUUGUCUGGGAUAUCACCCACAAUUUAAAACAAUUUUGAGAACCUUAACUCAACAGGGUGAUUAUUGGCACACUGUAUUCCAGUGGGUCACUAUACAUUAUAAUAGGACAUUAUAAUAAACACCCUUUAGAGUCAAGGACCCUACAAAAAUGUAAAUUGUGCAGAACACCCUAGACAGUAACCCUCUGUGCUACUGUGGUUAUAGUGAUUUCAUAAAUUUGACUUUUCUAUACAAAAUCCCAGAUUCAGAACGAGCAGAAAUUUCAGCUACACACUCCUUUCCAUCCCUAUUAAAUUGGUAAAUCAAAUCUCUACUCCAUUUAUGCAUUUUAUAAAUGCCUGCAGCUGAGGACAUUGCACCCUGGAGGUAACAAUAGUCUUCCCGAGGGGCAUUUCAUUUUCCACUGAUUUUUUUUGCGCUAAAAUAACUUUUUUUGGAACUGAACAAAUUGAUAAAGUAUUUAGCGAGUUAUUUUAAUUUUUCUUUGUGCAUGCACAGUUUAUUUUUUGCUAACUAGGUUACGCAUGCGCAGUUGGGCUCCACCACCAAGAGUAAGUUAGUGGGUAUAACAGUUUAAUAAUUCUCUAUGGAUAAUUUCAUUUGAAUUCCUUAGGUCACUUAUGUCUUGUGGUUCUUGUAGAUCCGGACUUUAUCCAUUUCAUUUUUUACAGCACUAUCUCCAAUGGGGACUCCAGAAGUUAAUGUAGCAACGAAUGAAAUUGUACCUCUUUUAAAUAUUUACAGGAAACAUAUUAGUCAGUAUAUAUUUAGUUCAUAUGCAUUAUAUACACUUUAAAACAUAAGCAUAAAAGACCUAUAUUCGUAAUACUAAUAUAUUGUGUACGAUAACGUAUUACAAACAAUAUAAUGUGCACAUAGGAGGCUGUGUGGUCCGGUGGCUAAAGAAAAUGACUUGUAAAUUGAAGGUCCCUGGUUCAAAUCCCACCACUGCCACUGACUGACUCACUGUGUGACCCUGAGCAAGUCACUUAAUCUCCUUGUGUGUCUUUUGGGUGAGACGUUGUUCUAAGUGACUUGGAAGCUGAUGCAUAGUUUGCAUACCUUAGUCUAAAUAAACAAAUAACAAUUAAUAUUACCAAAUGUUUGAUGGUUUAUUUCCAAACACAACAAUCACA